RNAcentral lists this long non-coding RNA (460 nucleotides) under Oryza sativa (Asian cultivated rice). RNAcentral's name for it is "long non-coding RNA (OSAT_LNC000231)". Lineage: Eukaryota; Viridiplantae; Streptophyta; Magnoliopsida; Poales; Poaceae. The record is from RNAcentral.
CUGGACGUCGUACUUCUGGGCGAGAUCAGUGUCCUCGGUGGCGUCGACCUUGGCGAGGGCGACUUGAUGGGCAAGAGGGGAGAGGUCGGCGGCGGCGGCGGCGUAGUCUGGGGCGAGCGCCUGGCAAUGGGCGCACCAGGGGGCGUAGAACUCGACCAUGACAUGGCGGUGGGAGGCGAGGAAGUCGGAGAAGUUGGCGGCGGAGAGGAGGAAGACGUGGGUCUCAUCUAUGGGAUGGUCCUGGGCCUGGCCAUGGUGGAAGAGGUCGUCGUCGUCGUCGUCGUCGGGGGAGCCCUCCUGGAGCCAGCCGUCGGGGUCGUUGGCGGGGAUGUCGUCGGCGUUGUCGAUGAGGUAGUCGAGGUCGUCGUCGGAGGCGGAGGCGGAGGCGUGGAGAAGAAGGGUGGCGAGGGCGACGAGGAGGAGAGAUCGGGAGCGCAUCGUUGCUUCCUCCGUUGCUCAC